CCUGAACGCUGGCGGCGUGGCUAAGACAUGCAAGUCGUACGGUGUAGCAAUACACAGUGGCGAACGGGUGAGUAAUGAAUCGCUAAUGUGCCCCGGACUCAGGGAUAGCUAUCCGAAAGGGUAGGUAAUACCUGAUGACAUAACCUUGUCGCAUGGCAGGGUUCUCAAAGGUCCGCCGGUCUGGGAGCAGGCGAUUUCGUAUCAGCUAGUUGGUGAGGAACGGCUCACCAAGGCGACGACGCGUAGCCGGACUGAGAGGUUGGCCGGCCACAUUGGGACUGAGACACUGCCCAGACUCCUACGGGGGGCUGCAGUAACGAAUCUUCCGCAAUGCACGAAAGUAGUGACGGAGCGACGCCG
Molecule: ribosomal RNA, 360 nt
Filed under: uncultured bacterium
Lineage: Bacteria
Description: bacterial SSU rRNA
Rfam family: Bacterial small subunit ribosomal RNA
Source: RNAcentral